Small nuclear RNA from Phodopus roborovskii (desert hamster), 102 nucleotides. Lineage: Eukaryota; Metazoa; Chordata; Mammalia; Rodentia; Cricetidae. The record is from RefSeq and is a predicted model, not a curated record.
GUAUUCUCAAACUGUUUUUGUUUUAAUUGGAAUGAUACAAAGAAAAUAACAUGGUUCCUACACAAGGACAACAGAGGAAAUCAAUAAAUAUGUGUGGUUUUU